RNAcentral lists this ribosomal RNA (611 nucleotides) under Aulacophora indica. RNAcentral's name for it is "partial large subunit ribosomal RNA". Lineage: Eukaryota; Metazoa; Arthropoda; Insecta; Coleoptera; Chrysomelidae. The record is from RNAcentral.
AGUUAUAUGGUGAAGCCCUUUUGUCUGGUCUCGCCUGUUUUACAAAAACAUGGUUUUUUGUUUUAUAUUUAAGAUUUGACCUGCCCAAUGAUAGAUUUGCUGGCCGCAGUAUUUUAACUGUGCUUAGGUAGCAUAAUCAUUCUUUUUUUUAUUGAAAUCUGGAAUGAUUGGUUGGAUGAUUUUAGGAACUGUCUCUAAUCUUUUUUCUAGAAUUUUAUUUUUUAGUUAAAAAGCUAAAAUAAUUUUAAAAGACGAGAAGACCCUAUAUAAUUUUAUAUUAAUAAUAAUUUAUAUUUUUAGAAUUUUAUAUAUUAAUUUUUUAUUAAUCUUUAGUUGGGGUGAUUCGACAACUUUCAUUAUCUUUUUUUUUAUUUUACUAUAAAUUAGUAGUAUUAUUGCUCCAAUAAUUUUGAUUAUAAGAUAAAAUUACCUUAGGGAUAACAGUGUUAUUUUAUUAGAGAGUUCAAAUCGAUAAUGAAGUUUGCAGCCCUCGAUGUUGGAUUAAAAUUUAUUUAUGGCGUAGAAGUUAUAUAAUUAAGUCUGUUCGACUUUUAAAAUUUUACAUGAUCUGAGUUCAACCGGAGGUCCAUUUUCGGAAUUCGACCUGCCCA